AUCUAAGUAUCUUUAGAAUUUUUUGAUUUACUUUUUCUACUUCAUAUCUGAAUUUUUUGAACCUUUCAAAGGUUUCAGAUUUAUAUUUCAUAUACAUACCUAUAUCACGACUGAUCAUCGAUAAAGAUAAUGAAGUAGAGAUAAUCUUCCUCAUCUAGCUCAUCAAAUGGACCGCACACAUUAAAUGUGUACUAGGAUAA
Molecule: long non-coding RNA, 200 nt
Filed under: Elaeis guineensis (African oil palm)
Lineage: Eukaryota; Viridiplantae; Streptophyta; Magnoliopsida; Arecales; Arecaceae
Description: long non-coding RNA (EGUI_LNC059378)
Source: RNAcentral